UACGGGGGGAGCAAGCGUUGUUCGGAUUUACUGGGCGUAAAGGGCGCGUAGGCGGCGCGACAAGUCACUUGUGAAAUCUCUGGGCUCAACCCAGAACGGUCAAGUGAUACUGUCGUGCUAGAGUGCGGAAGGGGCAACUGGAAUUCUUGGUGUAGCGGUGAAAUGCGUAGAGAUCGGGAGGAACACCAGUGGCGAAGGCGGCUCGCUGGGCCGGACCUGACGCUGAGACGCGAAGGCGUGGGAGGCGACGAG
This 252-nucleotide ribosomal RNA is filed under the name uncultured bacterium. Its description in RNAcentral is "partial 16S ribosomal RNA". It matches the Rfam family "Bacterial small subunit ribosomal RNA", at positions 524 to 775 of the family's 1533-position model. The record is from RNAcentral.